Molecule: long non-coding RNA, 873 nt
Filed under: Oryzias sinensis (Chinese medaka)
Lineage: Eukaryota; Metazoa; Chordata; Actinopteri; Beloniformes; Adrianichthyidae
Description: lncRNA (ENSOSIG00000015194.1)
Source: RNAcentral
CUGCCGAGGAAUACGGGAAGAGGACAACACCCAAACUGGCAUGCCUGCGGAUGGCCCCGUGGUGCCAAACUUUGUUGCCAGUUUCCUAAAAAAAAGUGGGGAAGAUUUUUUCAACAAAAUAUCCAACAGCAGUGAUGUAACAGGAGAGUGAAAACGCAGCCAGGAGCCCCCAGUGAUGCAGCAACUAGAUGGAAAAUGGGAUCUGGUGAUGCUGAUGACAUAAUAUCAGACCAACUCAAGAGACAAAAGAUGGAUCCAUAAAAGCAAACGGAAGACUUGCUGUCAGAGCUAACAAGGAUUCCUAAGUGAAGAGAAGAGACUCAAUAACUAACAUUUUUUUUAGAUAUUUCUUGAAAUUGCUUAUUCCUUUUUUUCACCUGUUAAAAUUUUUAUUUAGAUUAACAGUGCAUUGUGUUUACGAUGCCAUAUCUUCUUGCCGUAUUUGAAUAAACUGAAGCCAAUAUUGCUUUUCCCAUUUAAUUGAUUGUCGUCAUUCUUCCCUUGUUAGAUCAGGGGAUUCCAUGUUACACAAUGACAAACUUUGCAUCCAAAGAAAACAAAAUGACUUCAUCUUUACUGUUUAAGUUUUCUAACCAAAUCUUCAGGUUUUAAAUGUUUUUAUAUUCAUUGAUACUAAAUGCAUAGCAUUUUAAUGACCUUUUUCUUUAAACAUUACCGGUUUACUCAAAAAGUGGGUGUUUAGAAUAUGAUUGUAGAUAUGUUUGAAUAAAAAUGAGUCAUUUGUCACAUUUCUUGUGAUUUAUUUUCUGUUCAAAAAAUAAAGAAAUUCUAAUUUGCCACCAUUUUGAAUGUUAUACUAACUAUUUUUGCAAUGUUAAACACAGAAAUGUGAACAAUAAAUCAGGAAACUAU